This 67-nucleotide transfer RNA is filed under the name Fibrella forsythiae. RNAcentral's name for it is "tRNA-Val". Lineage: Bacteria; Pseudomonadati; Bacteroidota; Cytophagia; Cytophagales; Spirosomataceae. The record is from RNAcentral.
GGUGCCGUAGAAGAGGGGUACUUCGUUGUGGACGACGUUGCCGCUGGUUCGAGUCCAGCCCGUAUUG